Molecule: transfer RNA, 85 nt
Organism: Buchnera aphidicola (Schlechtendalia chinensis)
Lineage: Bacteria; Pseudomonadati; Pseudomonadota; Gammaproteobacteria; Enterobacterales; Erwiniaceae
Rfam family: tRNA
About the family: Transfer RNA (tRNA) molecules are approximately 80 nucleotides in length.
Source: Rfam
GCCCAGAUGGUGAAAUUGGUAAACACAAGGGACUUAAAAUCCCUCGGCUGUAUAAGCUUUGCGGGUUCGAUUCCCGCUCUGGGCA